UACGAAGGGGGCUAGCGUUGUUCGGAAUCACUGGGCGUAAAGCGCACGUAGGCGGAUCUUUAAGUCAGAGGUGAAAUCCCAAGGCUCAACCUUGGAACUGCCUUUGAUACUGGGGAUCUUGAGUCCGGGAGAGGUGAGUGGAACUGCGAGUGUAGAGGUGAAAUUCGUAGAUAUUCGCAAGAACACCAGUGGCGAAGGCGGCUCACUGGCCCGGUACUGACGCUGAGGUGCGAAAGCGUGGGAGCAAACAGGG
This 253-nucleotide ribosomal RNA is filed under the name uncultured bacterium. Its description in RNAcentral is "partial 16S ribosomal RNA". It matches the Rfam family "Bacterial small subunit ribosomal RNA", at positions 524 to 777 of the family's 1533-position model. The record is from RNAcentral.